GGGUGUGCAAGAAUCAGUAAAUUGACAGUUAUAUAGAUUUGCAUGGUGCUAGUGUAAAAUUUUGAAAAAUUCCAAACUUUUCUUAGAAAAGUUGAAAGCAAAGUUAUUGAUUACAGUUUCCAUGUCGAGUGACAAGGUAGUAGAAUUCUAGAUAAUAUGAAGAAAGAUAAACUUUUUCUAUUCUUUAAGGAUGAUUCUGCAUCAUGUGAUCAUGCAUUCACUUUAUAUACUAGCUGUAUUGGUGUACAAAGCAAGCUUACAACAAUAACCAACUUUUAUUAUAUAAAUCUAUUACAUAAUAUAGAUAUAUAUAGCUACUAACUGAAGGUUUUCUGCAUUAGCUGACAAAUUUGACACACAACAAUACCCUGACGUAGGGAAGCUUUGCUUCUAUGCUCUUUUCACAUUCCAUGGUUAUAUUUUAGGUUUUAUGUUUGGUGGAUGUUCCGUGAUCUUGUGCAAUUUCUCUUCCCCCCUUUGCCUUUCUAUCAAUAGCCAAGUAUUCAUAGCAAUUUAUUUGCUUAUUGGGGGUAAUA
RNAcentral lists this long non-coding RNA (536 nucleotides) under Vigna radiata. RNAcentral's name for it is "long non-coding RNA (VRAD_LNC013420)". The record is from RNAcentral. Lineage: Eukaryota; Viridiplantae; Streptophyta; Magnoliopsida; Fabales; Fabaceae.